Molecule: long non-coding RNA, 9206 nt
Filed under: Coffea arabica (coffee)
Lineage: Eukaryota; Viridiplantae; Streptophyta; Magnoliopsida; Gentianales; Rubiaceae
Description: long non-coding RNA (CARA_LNC003037)
Source: RNAcentral
UUUUUUUUUUUUUUUUUUUUGUAGUUGAACGUGGAUCUUUUGAUGACCUUCUAGUCUAUUUUAUUGCUUUUUAUUGAACGAAACUUACCCAUUUGCGGAAUUAGGCGUGUAGGUGCUACAUAAUUGAUAUUCACCGACUUUAUCUGCAGGCUUCAAAGGUUGAAAUAUCAUCCUUUCGUUUCAAAAGAUAAGAAGACAACUCUUGGCAGAAAUGGAUUCAUAGCUACACACCAAGAAUGAAAAGCAAAGAAUAGCACAAAUUUGGCCAUACUUUUUUUUUUUUUUUUUGUAAUGGUUUUUUGUUGGGGAGAGAAAACCAACGGAAUAAUGACAAAUUGUCAUAAUUUAAACAACGCUAACAAGAGGAGCAUGGUCAUGCUGCAUGAACACAUAGCCAUAGAUGACACCGGCCAAGCCACCACCAAUGAGGGGUCCAACCCAGUAAAUCCAGUUGCCGCUGAAGUUACCGCUCGCCACGGCCGGUCCAAAGGAGCGAGCUGGGUUCAUUGAUCCACCGGAGAAUGGUCCGGCGGCCAAGAUGUUGGCACCGACAAUGAAACCGAUGGCAAUUGGGGCAAUGACACCCAGUGAACCCCUCUUUGGAUCAGCUGCCGUGGCAUAGACUGUGUAAACCAAAGCAAAGGUGGUGAUGAUUUCCAUCACAACUCCUUGAAGUGCUCCUACCCCGGCGGCAACACUGUGGAUUGGAAUAGCCUGACAAAAUUCACCACAAAAUUACAUUAGAAAAGGCAUCUAUAAUUUCGAAACACACUAAUUACGGACGUUAGAAAUGGAACUUACCAAGCCUCCAGUGACAACUUUGAGAAGGUAGGAAGCCACAAUUGCGCCCAAAAGUUGAGCAAUCCAGUAUAGGAGACCGGUGAGGAUGGUGAUUUGACCCCCCAGAGCCAAACCGAAAGUAACGGCGGGGUUGACGUGGCCGCCGGAGAUGUUGGCUGCAAUGGCGACUGCAACAAAGAGAGCAAAACCAUGGCAAACUGCGACUGCCACAAGCCCAGAAGGAUCAAGAGCCGCGUCUGAUGUCAGUUUGUCUGCCACAAAUCACAAUUUAUGUAAACAAGCUAGUCAAGAGAUUAUAAGCAAGCCAUAAAUGGCCUUAGUGACCAACUCAAAUCUGCAUGGGCAUGCAUGGGAUGAGGACUCCAUACUAGGUUUUUUGGGUCAUUGAGAUGCAUUGAAUGAUUGUAGGGAACAUUAAUAACACUAUCAGGUGUGUGCUAUUAUCGCUGCUAAAGAUCAAUGUUAUCUGUUAAAAAUGCAUUUCUCUUUUUCAUCUUUUUCUUGAACGUUAAAAUUGACUAGGCUUGUGUGAUAAUCUAGAAACUAGAAAGUAAAGGUACAUAAGGAAGCUUAUUUACUGUAGGCCAUGGCUGAACCAACUCCGGCGAAGACGAAAACCAAUGUGGAGAUGAAUUCAGCAAGAUAUGCCUUGAGAGACCCUACACUAAAUGAAUCAUCAAACCGUCCGAAAGCAAUUCCAGCCAUUCCUUUUUUUUUUUUUUUUUCCUUUUGCUUUUGGGGGGUGGUUGGGGAAGAAGGGGGAGGAAGAGGAAGAUAAGCCUGAGAGUUGAGAGCGGCGGAAGGCUGGAGCUAGAUGUAGGAAAUGGAUAGAAAGCUUUCAGAUGACAAAGCUACCUUUUCUGUCUCACGUACAAAUAUAUAUACUAAACACGUACAAAUAAAAUAAAGGUAUUUGGAUAGCAAAUUAUUCGUGAGUUUUGUUCCUGUAGCACAUGCCAUUUGCCAAAUUCUAAACCCAACCGAUAAUCAUUUAUGUAUGUAGUAAAGAUUAAGUAGUAGUAGUUGGAUUAUGUACUUGAUGAUAAUGUGACUGCUGGGUCAUCGAUAUUGGAUUGGGAUCCCGAGCUCCGGAUGACUGUUUUCCUCGUUAGAAGAUGAGAGGAAUAUGCUGUGUACAAUUAAUCCAUGCAUUUGCGAACAAGGGCUGUGUACAUACAUUUCUUGCAAUCCUCCUAGCUGUCCUUGACUAACAUGCCUUGGAUGCAAUUGUCAGGAAUGAUGCAUCCAUGUGAACCGACCAAUAGGAGAGGAGGCUAAUGGUGAAUGUCCCUUUUGGGGCCCCCCCCUUUCCCUCCCUUUGUGAUAAAAAAAAAAGGAACUAAGUCAAAUAAUGACACAGAGAGAAAAGGAAAGGAAGAAAGAAAGAAAGUGGUUUCCGGCAUGAGUUAACUUUGCGCCAAAAAGUGGACCGACCAUUACUUUUUGAAGAGGUAGGGAUGAUUGAUUGAGGAGGACUGAGUUGCUCAAAAAUGUGUGGAUGAGAAUGGAGUAGGAUUACUAAUUACUAUUUGCUAGCAUCUAAUUUUUGUUGCUUAAUUAUUGCAAUGCACACGUACGUACUUUCAAGGGGUACGUUUGAUCAAUGUAAUUGAUCAAUUCUAAGAUGGGAUUGGGAGGAAUCUUGUGAGGAGUUGUUGGCAUAUUUGGAGGUUUUGGCUCCAUCGUGGAAGAUAUUAAUUGUUGUACUAAAAAUGGGCUUAAUCAUUUACGUAUGUUGAUGCAUGGUUCAACAUGUCCAAUUGAAGAAUUGAAGCAUUUUGUUUUCGUUAGUGGAGGGAGGGAGGGUUCACAUGAUUCCUUUUGUCCUCUGGGACUGCAUCAGAAUGUUGUUAGUGACGACGUAUUGACAACUCCAAUUCAUCAAAUACUACUAUUCCACGUACGUUUAUUCACUUCACUACUAUAUAUUACUGUGGCCUUAUUCCAAAUUUGGUAGUAUCGAUCAAAUUGGAAAGUCUUGUGUCCUCAUAUGAUAUGAGAUGGUGGGGCUGGUAAUUAAAAUGAAUUAGCACUAAACUUCCAACUUAGUAGAAUGUGCACUUAAUAGGUAUGCCAUACAAAAUCUCUACAACUUGUAUCCAAUCGCGCUAUCAUUCAUCUGCGCACUCGCAAAAGGGAAUUGUCGACUUUUGCUUUUACACUUUCUGGCGCAUGAAUUGCCAUCGCCACAAGCUUUGUGAGUUAGUUCAACGGUACCACCCAAUGGCCGUGCUCUUCUUAUCAUCUCAGAAGGGCACCAAUACCACCUUUAAGCCUGAAUAAGGGCGUUCACGUAAAAGAACCUUAGACUUUCACACUUUUGGGCCUAGUGACUUUCACGGCUUUUGAAGGUUGUUCGGGGAUCUAGGUUUAUUUACACAAAAGUCUGAGUUUCUCAGCUUGGAAAAAGACUGCUAAGGCAAUAAAUAUGUAAUGGACAAAGAGUAAUCAUUAGUGUCCGUCCACAUUCUUUGAAAAUUGACAAACCCAUUUAAAAUGCCGGUCGUUUUCAAAGCGUCUCCUUGAAAACAAACUGAAAUCCCGUUUCUUUGAUACAAUCGGGCCAAGAUCCAUAUCGAGUGAUAUUUCUUAACAGAAAUCAAGUACUUGCAAAAAAAUGAUCUAGAUUCUUUUGGUUUCAUUAAAGAAUUUUCCAAUAAGCAAUGGAUAUUGGUGCAAGUAGAAGACAGGAAGAGGCUUGCAUCUCUUAUCGAUGAGAUCUCGGAUUCGAAACUCUUGGGAAUAGAAAAAAUAAUGUUGGGAGAGUUUUCCCUGCAAGGGGCCGAUCCUACUCGAAUAGAAUUAGUCGCAGAUCGUAAAACGGAUGCGAACACCUGUGGGUUAUACCUAAAAAAAAAAAAAAAAAAGAACUUUCCAAUAGGGGUCUAAUUUGAUACACACAUUACAAUUACAUUUAUUUUUUAAAUUAUAGAGUGCAUUUUUUUUUUUCAAAUUUAAGUUCACUUUUCCAGAAUGUUAGUACUUGCUCGUGACCUAUCUUUGCCCGUUACGCAAUCCCGUGACACUACUGAUCAGGUAGACCAAGCCAGCGUUCGUCUGCUUCUUAUGCUGCAAUUAGAACGGGACAUUGGCAUGUACCAACUCUAUUUCAUAUUUAUGGUCAGAGCUUGAUUAGAUUCUCAAGUUCUUAACCUAUCUGUUGAGUAUUUUUUGAACUUAUAUAGUUCCAAUGUAUAUAAACAGAAAUAGUGAAUAGUGAUGGACUGAUGGGAUGGAACCUUGUACUUGGCGAUCACGACCAAAACUCCAACCUAUCAACCCUACAGCGUAGAAAGCUUCUGGUUCUGGAGGGAGGCGUGGUGCAGCGGCUGAUACGUUAAAAUGAUAGAUAGGCAGCAUUAAAAGGGGUUGUUGGCUAUACCGCAACGUCGCAAUUAAGAGCUUAAUAGAGAGAGAGCCAGGAGAAAUUUAGGCAUUAUCCGACCACCAUCAAGUACUAAUUGGACGUUCUUUUCUUUUAUUCUUUCCUUUUGGAUCAGAAAAGUUCUUUUCUAUGUCAGGCGAGAACGGAAAACACAAAACUCUCAAGAAAGGAAUUUUUUGUCCAAUGAUCUUAAACAUGGGCAGAGCCAGAUAAGAAAAUCGAGGUUAAUGAAUCCCAAGUUUUUUCUACUUUCAGUUUUUGCAGCUAGAUUUUGAAGAAAUUUGUCUUUUAGGAUAUAUAUCAGAGGCAACUGCGAUUAGAAUUUAUUAGAGACCAAGAGACGACAGAAUUUCCAUAUUCAGGUACUUUGGGGUCAGUGAGGCCUUAGUUUGGUUACGCAACAGAAAGUGAUUAUCUGAUAUCCAGACUCGGGAUAAAAAUCCCAAUUGGCAAAAAUCUUAAUUUUAGUUCUUACUGGUGUAUGAGUUCUUGUUCAUAUGUAAGUUUACUGGCCGGAACUGAGACUUUUCAGCAAUGCCAAUAUGCUGAUUUCAUCACUGUUGAAAUGAACCUGGAAACUGGAAAUAUGACUCUAAAUUGAGGAAUGAAACAAAUUGCAUUUACAUUUGCAUGCAUGUAGUAAUUGCCAGCACCGAACUUCUGUCAAAUUCGGCAAGUGGAUAAAAUAAACCGCUGUUCAUGGGGGUGGGGUAACAGUUUUUUAAACCGAGAAGAUAGCAAUGCCAGUAGUUAUUUAUGGACCAGCUACUUAAUUUACUGGAACAUGGCUCUUGCCUCUUGGCUUGGGUAGAAAUAGACACUGUGCCCAUUGCCUUGCUGAGAAUGUAUUGAUGUUAUGUGCGCCCACGUAUUCAACAACUGUUCUCCCUCAUCGUUUCACGAAUUGAUUCAUGACGCGAGAGCUUUGUCAAUUUAAUUUUAGAGUUUAGUCAUUCACCAACGGGUAUUUACUAUCACUAUUGUGUUCGUUGAAACUUGAAAACAAACAGUACAACACCAGUGCCAACUUAAUCAAGUAGAAAUUAUAGCAAGAGGUCCAACAAAAACGGGGACUCCUACCACACAGGAUCCUCAGUACUAUUUUUUCUGUGACAAUUCAGUGUGAUUUCUAUAUUUAUGUCAAAUGUCCUGUUCAUUUAAUUUAUCAAGUGUUGUUUAUUUAAAUUUCUUCUACCAUCACGUGAUAAGUGGAAUUGGCAUUGGAUUUGACACCGAAUAGUGACACAGAGAGGAUCCCAACUGAUCUCCUACCCGCCCUUGUGCAUUAUGAUAAGCAGUAAGCUACUCCAAUCCAAUACCUUACCUGGCAGUUCUAUAGUAUUAACUAUUAACGCCACCUGGUCCAGAGUUCAAAGUGUUUCACUUGAGCGAUCAAUAUAGCAAAUUCAUGCGUUCAAGUUGAUUACCUCACUGAAUCAGAUUAUUCCUUCUACUCUUAACCAGUGCCACUUUGAGCCCCAACUCAUCUGCAUGCUAUGGAAUUCAGUGGGGAAAGAACUCUUUGGAGUUUUGUGGAUGAGGAGAAAAAGAACAUAAACUUGCCAAGGAGACUUUCAUUUGGAAACCAGGAGCUUGAUUCUCAUUUGGCUUCCGCAAGAACAUCUUGUGCUUCUGCCGCAUCUUUCCCACUCUGGCCGAUGAGCCCUGAGACCCCGUGGACCAGAUCUCCGUUGCAUGCAUCCGCAUCCCCAAACUCAUCUCUUCUCUACCAUUGUAUAGCCUCUCUCCAUCGCAGUGAAGGUAAAAUCUUCUCCAUAGCCGCAUCAAAAGACUUUGUCUUCACUGCGUCAGACAGCAGAAGGAUCCAUGCAUGGAAACUUCCAGAUUGCACGGAGAUGGGAUACAUCAAGGCUAAAGCUGGGGGAAUUCGAACCAUCUUGGCUCAUGGGAAGCUGCUCUUCACUGCGCACGGGGACCACAAAAUCCGGGUUUGGGACAUGCCACCAACAGAAAACUUUCAACACAAGAAAAUCACCACCUUGCCAAGAAGAUCUUUCCUGGUGUAUGCUAAAAUGAAUAUCCAUAAAGACUCUAUAUCAUGUAUGGCUUACAACCACAUGGAAAACCUUCUGUACACAGGUUCCUGGGACAAGACAGUUAAGGUGUGGAAAAUCAGAGAAAAGCAAUGCCUCGAUUCGUUCGAGGCUCACGAAGGUAAUGUGACUGCAAUUGUGAUAAACCAAGAAGACGGCUGUGUUUUCACGGGUUCUUCAGAUGGAACGGUGAAAAUAUGGCGAAGGGUUUACCGUGAAAGCUCCCACAUUCUCACAAUGACCCUAAAGUUUCAACCAUCACCGAUAAAUGCCUUGGCUUUGAGCUCGUCACCUGGCGGUUGCUUCCUCUAUUCUGGCUCGUCGGAUGGGCUCAUAAACUAUUGGCAGAAGGAGAGAAUGUCCGGGAGGUUCAAUCAUAAAGGAUUUUUACAGGGUCACCAUUUUGCAGUUCUUUGUUUAGUGUCGAUUGGGGGCUUGAUCUUGAGCGGUUCUGAGGAUGCCACCAUAAGGAUAUGGAGAAGAGAGGACGGAGAUUCCUUCCAUUCAUGUCUUGCGGUCAUUGAUGGCCACCAUGGGCCAGUGAAAUGCUUAGCGGCUUCACUAGAAACCGCUGAUGUAUUGAUUCGACUGUUAGUUUACAGUGCUAGCUUGGACCAAACUUUUAAGGUAUGGCGAGUUAAAGUAUAUCCAGCUGAGAAUGUGAACUUGGAAAAGUCAGAAGCAAAGCAUAGCCAAGUAGAAAUGGAGUGUCAAAUGAGUCCAGUACUAUCUCCUUCAUGGGUGGAGAGGAAAAUGCAGGGAAGCCACUUUGAAUAGGAUAAUGAUAAAAUACAUGAACUUUACAUGCAUGUUUAUCUGAUAAUCCUGUUAAGAAUUUAGGUUAUUGUAGAUGACAGCAGUGUACGUAGUGUCCGAUAAGAUCUAGUUUCAAGUAGAAAUAGAACUGCAAAAUAUUGAGUUUAUACUUGAUUCGUUUCAUAUCUUUUCUUAGUUCUGUGUGAGAAUCUAGCUCCAUUUAUGCAGGCAGAUUAUGGUGCCAUUUCAGUUAACCAAAUACUGAGUAUUUCUUUCUGCCUGCCCUGAAUUUAAGAAUUUAAGGUUGUGACUUGUGAGUGCGAGUUAAGCGUUCUCUGACAUCUUUUACAUCUGUUUGUAGCUUUAUGUUUCCUGCUCAACAGUACGGAUUUCGUGAGGAUGAAGCCUCUACAUCUUAUAACUGUUCGAAGAUGUACUUUGCCUGUGCUAACCUGUCAAAUUGUGAUUUGCAAUCUAAAUAGAGAGGUAGGAAUCGAACCCGACCACUAGGAAGGACCUCAAAUCGCUCGGCAUCCCUACGGGGCGGGGGAUGGCCGCUAGGGGUGGCAACGGGACGGGGUUGGGGCGGACUCCCCCAUCCUCCGCCCCGCUGCCUACAAACUCCCCCCGCCCUCGCCCCGUCCCGCGCCACCCACUCCCCCCGCCCCGCCUCGCUACCCCCGCGGGGUUAAUAAAAUUUUAUUAUAAUUCAAUUUUAAUAAAUAAUCAAGUACUAAAAUAUCAACACAUCAUCAAGUAAUUAUUCAUUUUAAUUUUACAAUUGAAACUCAUAAAAACAAUCAAACAAAAGUUAUUUGAAUACAAUCCAACAUGAUGAAAUAAAUACAACUAAAAUAGUUAAGUUUUUACUUUUGGUACAAAUACAAUCACUAAUUCAUUAUUGUGUUUGUGCUUUUUUUUUUGAGAAAAAAGUGUUAUUCUAUUAAGUGUAAUUAGAAAUUUAGUAUAAAUGUAUUAGUAAAUUUAGUAUAACUAAUUAAUAAAUUCUAUUAGUAGACAUGUCUAAUUAUUCAUAUAAUUGAUAAUAUCAAUUAUAUUACAUGCACUAAUAUACAUUAUAUAAUACAUCUAACUAAUAAUAUCAUUAUCAUAAGUUUAUAACUAAUUAAAUUACAUAUUAUAUAUAAUUAUAUUUUUUUUUUUUGCGGGUGGCGGGGCGGGGGAGUACCGGGAAAAAAUUCUCCCCCGCCCCGAGAGCCCCCCCGCGGGCAACCGCCCCCGUUGCCAUCCCUACGCUCGGCCCACCAUCCUUCCGUUCCGUGGGUGAAUCCUCCGCUAAGGGGCCAUACCAACUUGUACGGCAUACAUAGAAAUUCAUAACUCAGGGCAAAUCACACCACCAUCUAAGUCACCCCAUUUUGCAACCGAAUUUGUCCAAACACAUCAAAUGGUCCCCAUCAACCCAGUCUACCAAAUAGUACUAAUUUUUCAAUCAAAUUUACGAGAUGUUGGGUUUUCUUCAUUCAAUUAAUGACAGCUAACCACCUCAUUUUACUGAUGGGAAGUGAAGGGUCCUCUAGAUCGGUAAUCUAGUUGCAGAACCUAAUAAAAUUUAAGCUAACAAAAUGAUAGAUCGAAUCACCAACAGGACAAUAACUGCACGAUGAUCUGCUCCCGAAUCCUGCAUUAGAAACUUGGACGAAGCAAAUUCUUCCAAACACGAAAGUGUUACCCAAUCCCCUCGACACGAGUUCCAACAAUUUUUUAUUUGUAUAUUAGCUCAAGGGGAUGAUGGAAGACAUUGUGGAUAAACUAAUAGUCGAUUACAAAACACGCGAUUAUUAGAUUUGGCAUACUAGAAUAGUCAAUUACAAGACGUGUGAUUAUUUGAUUUGUUGUGUAUGUCACGUUAAAGAGAAAAGAACCUCAGUAGUCAUACAAGUUCCAGCAAAAAAUCAAACCGCAUAAAAUUUCUUUCCUACACAUAUUGAAGAUUGUGCGUCACGUCUUGGGUAAAGGAGUAUGAAGACAACCAGGUGAAGAGAAAAUACUAAAAAAACACUUAAACAGCUAAAGAGGGCACAAUGUUUCUUUAGAUGCAGGCGGGCAAUCUAAUCUAAUUGCGUAUCUUCGGGAAAGGGAAUAGAAGUGCAGCAAUGGUAAUAACCAUUUUCAUCAAACCGAAACCUUUCAGAAAGAUGGGCUUCACGGAUGACAUACACUCCCCAAUCCUCAGAUCCGUAUUGAUC